UACGAAGGGGGCUAGCGUUGUUCGGAUUUACUGGGCGUAAAGCGCACGUAGGCGGCUUGUUAAGUCAGAGGUGAAAGCCUGGAGCUCAACUCCAGAACUGCCUUUGAUACUGGCAAGCUCGAGUAUAGGAGAGGUUGGUGGAACUGCGAGUGUAGAGGUGAAAUUCGUAGAUAUUCGCAAGAACACCAGUGGCGAAGGCGGCCAACUGGCCUAUAACUGACGCUGAGGUGCGAAAGCGUGGGGAGCAAACAGG
Molecule: ribosomal RNA, 253 nt
Filed under: uncultured bacterium
Lineage: Bacteria
Description: partial 16S ribosomal RNA
Rfam family: Bacterial small subunit ribosomal RNA
Source: RNAcentral